UACUAAAGAGAUUAUUAUUAUUAUCAUGAUUAUCAUUGAGAAUUAAUAAAAGUUUUGAGAAUUGUUUAUAUUGAUUCUUGUUUUUCUUUUUCUACAUCAGGAGGGAAUUUCAUUUAUAAGAUAAUUUCUAUAAAAGAAAAAGGAGUUGGAUCCUUGAACAAUUUUCUCCUUUGGGAAAGGGGGUGGCGAGGUUGUCAUGACAUGAUGUCUCAAUUGCUUACCAUUAUUUUGAACCAUGAUUUCUUUCACAUAUGGUUUGAUGUUUGUGCCAUUAAAUGGCACUACAACAAAGAAAGGACAUUUCUAAUUACAUUAUUCACUACAACAAAUGACAAAGCUUGCUUUUGAUGUUGCGUCAGAAACCACUGAACGUAUUACAUAGAAAUGCAGUAGUGUCAAAUCUAUAAGAAAAAACCAAUCACGGAAGCAACAAGGCACGGAUUUUCAAAAUCUAUGUGAAUAGCUCUGGUGCAAUUUCACAGAAAAGGUUUUAAAUUGCUAGUAGUAACGCAUACGUGAAGAAUUAUAUCACAUGAAAAAGAGAAAGAAAUUCUAACCAAAUUGCAUGUCUUCAAGUCCCUUAUAAUACUUAUUGCCAAAUUUUUCCACCUCCACAAGCGUUGCCCCUAUGUUGUGAAUUUUGGUUUGCCUAAAUCACUUAAACAAAUUUUGAAGAAACUAGUGAUAAUUCACUAAAACCCAAAAACAAAAACAAGAAGAAAUAUGUUAGCAAUAAAGGCUUAUGAAAGAUUCAAAUAAUAACAUAAGUUGAGAGGAAAAAAAUCAACCAAAGACAACAAUGUACAGAAGGCUCGCUCAAUCUUCAUAUAAGGUGUUGAAAUAAUAAAUGGAAGUAGCACGAAAGAAAUAACGAAAUUCAAAUUGUAUUGCCACAAAAUAUGUGUAAAAGAAGGUACUUAAGCCUAUCUAGUAGGAUACACCAACUUCCAUUCCAAUGCCAAAACCCCUAAUUAGAAGACUAAUUUAUAGAGCUUCAAUGCUUUAUUGAAAGUGCAUUCAGAAGAGCACUGUUUCAUCAAACUGAACAAACUUAAGCAAACUUCUUUUCAACAAUCUCCAACAAACAAAAUUGUAACAAGCAUCAACUAAGAGAUCUUAACUUACAACAAAUUUCCAUCCAAAAGGCAAUUCCUGAAAAAUAUUCAACAAAAUUGAAAGGAAGAAAAAUGCAUAAUAAGUCAAUAAAGCUCAAAAAAUAAAAUAAACUAACAAUGAGAAUAAAAUGUCACUGAAGUGAUAGACAAAAUAGCAUAUAUAUCCUUAAGUUUGGUGUCAAAACAAUGAUCAUCAAUUGGAAGACUAGAUUUCAAUUGAACCACUGUUUUUAUAUGCCUGGGCAAGUUAAAAUAUACAAAGUUUUCUGCAAAGAAGUUAUGGAUGGUAUGUUCCUUGUUCCAGCUAGAUUUUUUUUUUUUUUCAACAUAAUAACGAGUAAAGGCCCAUCUCACCAAUUCAUCAUCAUUUAGGCUUAAUAGUACAAAUAUAUGGUUCUGUCGGCCUUGAUGUACAUAUUGCAUAAUUAUUGCAUGGAAGAUCUAUAUACAAUGACUUUAAAUGGACAUUUAACAUUCCACAUAAUAACAUCAUCUCAGGAAAAAAAAAUGCAUACCAUGAUAAGAGUAAAACAUCUCAUGUGGAUGCUCUAAAACAAAGAAAAGGUACAAAGUUCAAAAAAAAAAAAAGGUAAUAAGCAAAAACCUGGGUAUCUAGAAGUAUAAGCCG
This 1743-nucleotide unclassified non-coding RNA is filed under the name Hevea brasiliensis (rubber tree). The record is from RNAcentral. Lineage: Eukaryota; Viridiplantae; Streptophyta; Magnoliopsida; Malpighiales; Euphorbiaceae.